GCUCCCAUGGCGUAGUGGUCAGUGCGCUCGCUUUGCACGCGGGAGACCCGGGUUCGACUCCCGGCGGGGUCA
Molecule: transfer RNA, 72 nt
Filed under: Diaphorina citri (Asian citrus psyllid)
Lineage: Eukaryota; Metazoa; Arthropoda; Insecta; Hemiptera; Psyllidae
Rfam family: tRNA
About the family: Transfer RNA (tRNA) molecules are approximately 80 nucleotides in length.
Source: Rfam by way of RNAcentral